GAGACAGCAGCCGCCGCGGGAAUACGAAGGGUGCAAGCGUUAAUCGGAAUUACUGGGCGUAAAGCGUGCGUAGGCGGUGAGUUAAGUCUGCUGUGAAAUCCCCGGGCUCAACCUGGGAAUGGCAGUGGAUACUGGCUCGCUAGAGUGUGUCAGAGGAUGGUGGAAUUCCCGGUGUAGCGGUGAAAUGCGUAGAGAUCGGGAGGAACAUCAGUGGCGAAGGCGGCCAUCUGGGACAACACUGACGCUGAGGCACGAAAGCGUGGGGAGCAAACAGGAUUAGAUACCCCAGUAGUCCCUGUCUCUUAUAC
This 308-nucleotide ribosomal RNA is filed under the name uncultured bacterium. RNAcentral describes it as "partial 16S ribosomal RNA". It matches the Rfam family "Bacterial small subunit ribosomal RNA", at positions 505 to 807 of the family's 1533-position model. The record is from RNAcentral.